GAUGAACGCUAGCGGCAGGCUUAACACAUGCAAGUCGAGGGGCAGCGCGAUGUAGCAAUACAUUGGCGGCGACCGGCGCACGGGUGCGUAACACGUAUGGAACUUACCCUUUACUGGGAGAUAGCCCGGAGAAAUCCGGAUUAAUAUCCCAUAAUAAACGAAGUGGCAUCACUUUGUUUUGAAAGCUCCGGCGGUAAAGGAUGGCCAUGCGCACGAUUAGCUAGUAGGUGAGGUAACGGCUCACCUAGGCUACGAUCGUUAGGGGGCCUGAGAGGGUUAUCCCCCACACUGGUACUGAGACACGGACCAGACUCCUACGGGAGGCAGCAGUGAGGAAUAUUGCGCAAUGGAGGCAACUCUGACGCAGCCAUGCCGCGUGCAGGAAGAAGGCGCUACGCGUUGUAAACUGCUUUUAACCGGGAAGAAACCCUCCGACGUGUCGGAGGUUGACGGUACCGGAGGAAUAAGCACCGGCUAACUCGUGCCAGCAGCCGCGGUAAAGUAUCGU
This 508-nucleotide ribosomal RNA is filed under the name uncultured bacterium. RNAcentral describes it as "bacterial SSU rRNA". It matches the Rfam family "Bacterial small subunit ribosomal RNA", at positions 28 to 528 of the family's 1533-position model. The record is from RNAcentral.